CGCAGGCUGGCUUCGUCACUGUCCGAUGUCCGCUGGCUCCGAGCCUCCAAGUGAGGUCACCAGGGUACUGCCAUUCCUCAACUGUCAGCCCUGGACCAAGGGCUCCCUCUGCAAAGCCGGCUCAGCUGCCCACAGACCGGGGCCCCUGCUUCUCUGCGAUUCUUGGUGCUUUCCUGGGUUUGGCACAACGCCCACCAGGGCCCUCCGCACACUUCGUUACGGUUACCGUUUGCAGCCUGUCUCCUGGCUGACCAGCGAGCUUCCACCUGUGUCCUCCCCUCCCAGAGCCUCGUGGCAGGCGCUUGCUGCCAUUCGUUCAAUGACCAAAGGAAGAAGCAGAGACAAAGCUGUAAGGGACAGAGACAAAGCGCCUCCUGGGUCUCACCCGUCACCAGCUGAGUAAGUACUUCGGCCCCUGUUGCCCUUGGUCACCUGUGAGGACAGAGCCUUCGCGGCACUGAAGGAAGAGACAACACCUCCCCAUUCUCUUUCUGGACCGUAUGGUUCUUCUCAAGGUCAUGUCUCGGUUUUUGUCAAAGACACAAGAGGUGUCUACGUUUUGAUCCAGGUGGACUGUGGGUUUCGCAGAGCCAGGGCUAAGCCCUGUUCCGUCACGAAUCCCCCAGCUGUUGGGCACAAGGGAGCCGGUCCGCCCUGCCUGGACCAGUUUGCUCACCUGCACGUGUGGAACUGAGAGUCACGCCCAGGCUUUGGGGGGGUGCUGGGAGCAUCACCGCCCACGGGACUCACGAGUCCUGGCUCAGACCGGGUCCUCGGGGUCCAUGGGUGAAGGCCCAUGAGGGCGGAGGCUUGAGGGGAAGCCAGAGCAUGGAGCAGGACCUGGGGACCCCGGAGAGAAGAGCGCGUGGCCGGAGCUGAGGACCCCCGUGGGGACGGGAGUGAGGUACAGCUAAUCCCGCACUUAUGCAACUGUUCCAUUCCGAAAGGCCUUUCUCAACUUGAACUUUGCACCAGAAGCCUGCUUGGGACUUAAAGGUACAGAACCCGUUGCACACACACUCCUUCCUCUCUGCUCCCCAGCUCCAGCCGGCUUCCCCUCGCCCUGGAGCCCCACAGAGCUCGUGCAGGGGAGGAAGGAGGGGCUGCAUCGGUGCUUCAGGCUGCCCCCGCCCCCUCCUGCCUGUGAGCGCCCUGCCCUUCCCAGCUGGGCCCUUCCCAGGGGUGCUGGCGUCGGCGCUGUGGACGGAGGAGGAAGACCCCGACAGACACGCCAGCCCCAUGGGGACUGCCCCCCUGGCAGCCUUGACCUCUGGACUUUGGGGAGCUCAUCCUGAGAGUGGGCUGUAUUGGGGACCGUGUCCUGACCCCUCCAGGCCUCGUGUCUCCCUGCUCCCGGCCCUGCAGGCCGAUGGUGUGGGCUGGACAGAGGCUCCGCAGCCGUCUGCGUCUGUCUUCACCACCUCUCCUGCAGGCGCUGUCUCCCCGGCAGGAGGGCUCAGGCUCGGCAGUGACUCCCUGUCUGCCCUCUCGGGCGCGGGGAGGCAGUGGCCCCCGGCCCCAGUCCCGUGGUCUUCCUGCGGCCUGUCGAUCCUUACUGAAAAGCUCCUCCGGUCACCUGUGGCAGUCCCUGCGGAUGGAUGCCUGCAAGGUCCUCCUCCUGUCACGGAGCUGGUCCCCCCCAUUGCUCUGCUCCCUCUUCCCAGAUGCCACCGACGGAAACUUUGAGCCCCCCAAACGCACAUGUGAGAACCUGUGUUGUGCUGGUGUUGGGAGGUGACUGGCCUUGUGUGGGAGGUAGUGGUGCUGGGACGGGGCGCGCGUCCUCCUAAGGAGAGGAUGGCCCUGGAGAGGGAGCACAGAGCCAGCCCUGCAGCUGCUGCCCUCGGGUCUCCUGCCUCCGGGGCUCUGAGGAUUGACCCUGGGCUGUCCCCGUGGGGGGUCCGUGAGGUCUGCACGGCCCGAGCGAGCCAAGCUGAGGCCUGGCCCCGGCCACCCGGGUCUGGCCCACUGGUCCUGAGAGCUCUUGGCACAUCCUGCCCUCGCUGGGACCCUGUCCAGGGCCCCCACACCCCUUGCCUGCCUUGCCCUUCAGGAGCUGCCCACAGGUUGGCCCCCUGGCAAACACCGCGUGCAACACCACAGCCAUGAGGCCAUCCUGUCCCCCGUCAUGCACAUCCCUCUGCCACACUCUUCUCAGAAGCAGGAGCGGGAUCCCUCCUGGAACCCAUCCUGCGUCACGUGCCUGUGGCCUGGCAGGGACCAGAGGGCGGACGCCUUCCCCCGCUGCUCCCAGAGGAAUCCACACAACCUGGGUGGGGUUUAACCCAAGGCAGACGCUCGGUCCUUGCUGGGGACACAGUGGGCUAGAUGUCUCUUGGGCACAGUGUCACGUCCUAGUGAUCGACCCCAAGGGUGUGUCGUGGGAAUCACUUUGUUGGUCGCUCGGCCCCACGUGUCCGAAGGGGACAGGGUCCCCGUCUCUCCAGUCCUGCUGGCGAGCCCUGGGAGAGGGAGACGGGCCCGUUCCCGGGACCACUGAGUGGUUGUGGAAGCGCCAGAAGGAAGGAGGCAGGCGGAGGGCUCCGUGGGCCCCCGAGGGCGGUCAUGCCGUGUGGCCACGCCCGGGACAGCCUUUCUCAGCUGGAGGAAGCAGCCGGAACUUUCACUUGGUCUGGUUUCCUCCAUCACCUCCCCAGCGGUGACCACCUCCUGCGUGCAUCGGAGUGGCCCGAGGUUCGCGUGCCUGGGCCCCCCAGGGCCUGGUGGAGGUCGUCCCCUUGGCCAUGCGGGUUCUCCCCGCCACGCUUCUCCAGGCCCGACCAGGCUUGCAUUUCUCUGCUUUACCUCAGGCUCCAAAUUAAACUCCUUGCGUCUUUGA
Long non-coding RNA from Mustela lutreola (European mink), 2839 nucleotides. RefSeq lists it as uncharacterized. Lineage: Eukaryota; Metazoa; Chordata; Mammalia; Carnivora; Mustelidae. The transcript is spliced from 2 exons. The record is from RefSeq and is a predicted model, not a curated record.